RNAcentral lists this ribosomal RNA (1418 nucleotides) under Escherichia coli. Its description in RNAcentral is "partial 23S ribosomal RNA". It matches the Rfam family "Bacterial large subunit ribosomal RNA", at positions 323 to 1746 of the family's 2925-position model. Lineage: Bacteria; Pseudomonadati; Pseudomonadota; Gammaproteobacteria; Enterobacterales; Enterobacteriaceae. The record is from RNAcentral.
UGUGUGUUAGUGGAAGCGUCUGGAAAGGCGCGCGAUACAGGGUGACAGCCCCGUACACAAAAAUGCACAUGCUGUGAGCUCGAUGAGUAGGGCGGGACACGUGGUAUCCUGUCUGAAUAUGGGGGGACCAUCCUCCAAGGCUAAAUACUCCUGACUGACCGAUAGUGAACCAGUACCGUGAGGGAAAGGCGAAAAGAACCCCGGCGAGGGGAGUGAAAAAGAACCUGAAACCGUGUACGUACAAGCAGUGGGAGCACGCUUAGGCGUGUGACUGCGUACCUUUUGUAUAAUGGGUCAGCGACUUAUAUUCUGUAGCAAGGUUAACCGAAUAGGGGAGCCGAAGGGAAACCGAGUCUUAACUGGGCGUUAAGUUGCAGGGUAUAGACCCGAAACCCGGUGAUCUAGCCAUGGGCAGGUUGAAGGUUGGGUAACACUAACUGGAGGACCGAACCGACUAAUGUUGAAAAAUUAGCGGAUGACUUGUGGCUGGGGGUGAAAGGCCAAUCAAACCGGGAGAUAGCUGGUUCUCCCCGAAAGCUAUUUAGGUAGCGCCUCGUGAAUUCAUCUCCGGGGGUAGAGCACUGUUUCGGCAAGGGGGUCAUCCCGACUUACCAACCCGAUGCAAACUGCGAAUACCGGAGAAUGUUAUCACGGGAGACACACGGCGGGUGCUAACGUCCGUCGUGAAGAGGGAAACAACCCAGACCGCCAGCUAAGGUCCCAAAGUCAUGGUUAAGUGGGAAACGAUGUGGGAAGGCCCAGACAGCCAGGAUGUUGGCUUAGAAGCAGCCAUCAUUUAAAGAAAGCGUAAUAGCUCACUGGUCGAGUCGGCCUGCGCGGAAGAUGUAACGGGGCUAAACCAUGCACCGAAGCUGCGGCAGCGACGCUUAUGCGUUGUUGGGUAGGGGAGCGUUCUGUAAGCCUGCGAAGGUGUGCUGUGAGGCAUGCUGGAGGUAUCAGAAGUGCGAAUGCUGACAUAAGUAACGAUAAAGCGGGUGAAAAGCCCGCUCGCCGGAAGACCAAGGGUUCCUGUCCAACGUUAAUCGGGGCAGGGUGAGUCGACCCCUAAGGCGAGGCCGAAAGGCGUAGUCGAUGGGAAACAGGUUAAUAUUCCUGUACUUGGUGUUACUGCGAAGGGGGGACGGAGAAGGCUAUGUUGGCCGGGCGACGGUUGUCCCGGUUUAAGCGUGUAGGCUGGUUUUCCAGGCAAAUCCGGAAAAUCAAGGCUGAGGCGUGAUGACGAGGCACUACGGUGCUGAAGCAACAAAUGCCCUGCUUCCAGGAAAAGCCUCUAAGCAUCAGGUAACAUCAAAUCGUACCCCAAACCGACACAGGUGGUCAGGUAGAGAAUACCAAGGCGCUUGAGAGAACUCGGGUGAAGGAACUAGGCAAAAUGGUGCCGUAACUUCGGGAGAAGG